RNAcentral lists this ribosomal RNA (465 nucleotides) under Vreelandella stevensii. RNAcentral describes it as "partial 16S ribosomal RNA". It matches the Rfam family "Bacterial small subunit ribosomal RNA", at positions 338 to 795 of the family's 1533-position model. Lineage: Bacteria; Pseudomonadati; Pseudomonadota; Gammaproteobacteria; Oceanospirillales; Halomonadaceae. The record is from RNAcentral.
CCUACGGGUGGCAGCAGUGGGGAGUAUUGGACAAUGGGGGCAACCCUGAUCCAGCCAUGCCGCGUGUGUGAAGAAGGCCCUCGGGUUGUAAAGAACUUUCAGUGAGGAAGAACGCCUGGUGGUUAAUACCCAUCAGGAAAGACAUCACUCACAGAAGAAGCACCGGCUAACUCCGUGCCAGCAGCCGCGGUAAUACGGAGGGUGCGAGCGUUAAUCGGAAUUACUGGGCGUAAAGCGCGCGUAGGUGGCUUGAUAAGCCGGUUGUGAAAGCCCCGGGCUCAACCUGGGAACGGCAUCCGGAACUGUCAAGCUAGAGUGCAGGAGAGGAAGGUAGAAUUCCCGGUGUAGCGGUGAAAUGCGUAGAGAUCGGGAGGAAUACCAGUGGCGAAGGCGGCCUUCUGGACUGACACUGACACUGAGGUGCGAAAGCGUGGGUAGCAAACAGGAUUAGAUACCCUAGUAGUC